Molecule: long non-coding RNA, 8888 nt
Filed under: Solanum lycopersicum (tomato)
Lineage: Eukaryota; Viridiplantae; Streptophyta; Magnoliopsida; Solanales; Solanaceae
Description: long non-coding RNA (SLYC_LNC000733)
Source: RNAcentral
GAACCUUUUAUAUAUGAGUUCAUCGGUUUACCUAAAUGAUAAUUAUAUUAUCCUAGAAAAAAGAGUUUUCUCAUGCGAAGGCUAAAAGAUAAGAGAGCCAAGCUUUUUCCUGGGGGGAAAAAAUGUCUGAGAACUAUCAGAGUAAAGAUUAACUCUAACUGCACACCAACUAUCAAAAAGAGCUUUUCCAUUCACCUUUUAUUUCAUCUUCUAUCUAGCCAAAUGAUAACUAAUCUUCCCACUACAUAAGUUCUUUCAUACUAACAUAUUUCUCCAACAAAGAUGUAAUCUCAAACACAUUCACAAGAUGCACAAAUGAAGUCGUUGAUGACAUUACAGUGUCGUGCUACAUUCUAGCUCAAAGAGCGUUGUCUAUUAGGACUUUCAACAAUUAAGCAAUAGUAUGCCAAGUGUCAACUAAAUUACUAAUCAUUCCACAUGACGUGUCAGACACUAUACAUAAUGAAAUAGAAAAGGUGAAGUGAAAAUUAUUCAACAAAAGAAGUGUGUAUUCAGUGAGAAUUUGUGAGAUUUUCUAGCUUUAUGAAAAAUGCCGCUUUACAAUGCAAAUUUCCUGAUCAGGUGACUUCAAUCAAUCAAUCAACUACUUCUAAAAUCCAAAUGGGUAGCGUCAGCUAUAUGAAUCUUCUAUAUCACUUCCGCUCUUCCAUUAUGGUCUCCUAAAACAAAUUUUACGUACUCUGAAACUAGAUGCUCCUUAAAAUUAGAGUGCCGCUCAAUCAAUCACAAUUGUGGGGGAAAAAACAUAUGGAGAAGUCAUAAUUGUUUGGAUAACAAAUUAUUCACACAGACAUUUCUAUACUGCAAUUAAAAAGGAUAAAAAACAUCUUCACUUGGGAGAAUAAUUUGAAUUUAAAAAUGCUUAAAAUGAUGAACAGCAGGUGUUCAUUGUCCAUAUUUCAGCAAAUAGUGCUGCUGUCUAAUUUCCUUAACACAAAACAUGGAUCAAAAUUCAGAACAUGAUGGAAAAAGAAAAAAAAAACAUUUGGAAGAAACAAAAGAGAAUACACUUCUUUGUUUUUUUAAUGAUAGUGUUAUCUGGUCUAGCUUCCGUGCAUCUCAACUAAUUCCACGAGGUACCUGCUAACUCCCACUAGCAAAGGUAUCGAGCAACUUCAUCCACCAAGGGCUGAACAAAAUAGAAUGAAAUCACCUAAUGUUUAUUGCCUCUAGUGGGGUUUAAACCUGAGACCUCAUGAUUUUCAAUCCACUUCCUUAACUAUUAGGCAUCCUUGGGUGCAGAAAGAUAAUAUGUUUCUACAAAAUUAAGAGCAAAAAAAGAUUCUACUGAGCUGGUGUUCUGUGUCAUAUAUUUAAAGAUUAAGUUUUAAAAGGGUGGUUAGACUGACUAUGUUAUGUGGGAAAGAGUGUUGGCCAGUCAAAAAUUCUCAUGUCUAGAAGAUGAGAGUAGAAUUGAUGUAGGAUGUUGAUGUGGAUGUGUGAGCAUACAAGGAGAGAUAAAAUUAAGAAUGAAGAUAUUUGGGUCACGCUUGUGACAAAAGAGAAGAGUGGAUGUGCCGGUAAGAAAACACGAGAGGUUGGCUGAUUGAAGGCUUGAGGAGGGGUAGAAUUAGGCCUAAGAAGUACUGAAAUGGGUAAUCAGGUAAGACAUGACGCAACUUCAACAUAAGAGGGUGUGGAGAUCAAGGAUAAGGAUAAAUGUUAGUAGGUUGACGAGUGUUCUGCUUUCCAAUUCUCCAACGUAUUAGUAUUAGUCUUAAUUUUUGUAUUCUUAGAUUUCUAUUUCUAUCUGUUGAUUCCUUAGCCUCGAUUACUAUUUUCUCUUAUACCGGAAAAAUCUUCCCUACCUUCUCAAGGUAAUUUUUCAAGUUAGGGGUAAGGUCAUAGUACACACUACCCUUCUUACACCUCACUUGUGGGAUUACACUGAAUUUGUUCUUGUUGCUCAAGAGACAAAAAUUACCUCCAACAGCACUAGUGGUUAGCUCAAUUAGAAGAGGUUGAUGGACUUGUGUCUUAAGCCACAAGUUCAAGCCCUCGACCAAGUGAACUAAACCCACUAUUUAAAUAGAGAAUGCUAAGAGGGGCAAACUCAUAAUCUUCUGAGUUUCGAUGGUUAAGAUUAGCUCAAAGUACUGACAAGUUUCACAAUCAUUAAGGUCUGCGUACACUCUAGCCUCCAUAGACUGCACUUGUAAUUUUAAUAUUGUAUUACACAAUGACCAAUUGAUUUCAAAUUCCACCUCUGCUCCUAGACAUGUAUUUCUGACUUUGUUUCAUGAGGAAAAAUAUGUAAUCAAAACGCUUAGGGUUCUAGAAUCAAAGUGAUAAAAUUAAAUGUUGAAGUUUUUUAAAAAACAUUUAAGUGAUCAUCGACCAAAAGCGAUAAUAAAAUGUAUCAGGUAAUUCCAUACUAAUAUAUCACAUAUCUGUACCUAAUAACACCAAACCCAACUAAAUUUACUUGCUUGAUUUUCGAAGUUAUCUAACCAUCGUGGUUUAAAAAAGUCAUUCGAAUAAUUGACUACCCAAUUGUCAUCAUAGCCCUCAAAUUCAGGCUCUUCUCUUUUCAGAAUGAAACUACUCACAAACACAUGACAUUAAAUUGAAAAUCGUUAGGAAGUACACAAUAUGCACUCAAACAUAAGAAUAAGUACAUCCCUAAGCUUUAAUCGAGUGAUAAGAGAGCAUGUGAUGUCCAAGUUAUGCACACAACGAGGUUCAAAGUUUAAAUCUUAUCACAAACAAAAGUCUUCUACUUAAGCUAUGCACAAAACAAGGUCCCACCCCUCUAUUGUUCACUUAAGUAGAAGACUUUUGUUUGUGAUCAGAUUCAAACUUUGAACCUUGUUGUGUGCAUAACUUGCACAUCACAUGCUCUCUUAUCACUCGAUUAAAGCCUAGGGAUAUACUUAUCCUUAUAUUUGAGUGCAUAUUGUAUACUUCCUAACGGUUUUCAAUUUACUAUCAGGUGGUUGUGAGUAGCUUCAUUCCGAAAAGGGAAGAGCCUAAAUUUGAGGGUUAUGAUGACAAUUGAGUAGUCAAUUAUUCGAAUGACUUUUUUUAAACCCAAUGGGUAGAUAUUGUUUUGAACUUCAAAAAUCGAGCAACUAAAUUUAGUUGAGUUUGGUGUUAUUUGGUACAAACAUGUAGUAUAUUAGUAUGGAAUUACCUAAUACAUUUUAUAGACGCUUUUGGUCUAUAUUCACUUAAAUGUUUUUUAAAAAAAACUUAAAUGUUAGUACGUAGUCAAGCGUUCUGUUUUCCUAUUCCAAUGUAUUAGUAUUAGUCUUGUAUUUUCGUAUUCCUAGAUUUCUAAUUCUAUCAGUUUAUUCCUUAGCCUCGAUUACUGUAUUCUUUUGUUUUUGUUCUAACUUGUUGCUAUUGAUGUCUUUUCAUUUAUUUUAGGCUGAGGUUCAAUCAAAAACAUCUUCUCUAUCUUUUCAAGGUAUAGGCAAGGUUUGCGACACACUACCCUUCUCGAACCCCACAUUUGGGAUUAUACAAGGUUUGUUGUUGUUGCUUAAGAGACGAAAAUUACCUCCAACGACCCAGUGGCUAGCUCAAUUAGCAAAGGUUGAUGGACUUGUGUCUUUAGGCCACAAGUUCACAUUUUUCUUAGUUAUUGGCAAGUUUCAAGGUCAUUAAGGUCUGCGUACACUUUACACUCUAUAGAUCGCACUACAACAUGGACCAAUUGAUUUCAAAUUCAAUUUCUGCUCGUUGGCAUCUAUUUCUGACUUUGUUUCAUUAGAAAAAAUAAGUAAUCAAAACGCUUAGGGUUCUAAAAUCAAAGUGACGGAGCACACAACAGCACAAAUAUUGAUAGGAGGGUGUGGUGGUCGAAAAUAAGGAUCUAAUGUUAGUAGGUAGUUAAGUGUUUUGUUUUCCUAUCCCUAGUGUAUUAGUAUUAGUCUUGUAUUUUCAUAUUCUUAGAUUCUGAUUCUAAUUCCUUUUAACUGUAUUCUCUUGUUUUUGUUUUAACUUGUUGCUAUUGAUGUCAUUUGUUUUGAGCUGAGGUUCUAUCGAAAACAUCUUCUCUACCUUCUCAAGGUAUGGGUAAGGUGAGCGUACACACUACCCUUCCUGGACCCCACUUGUGGGAUAACACUGAGUAUUAACUUGUUGUUCAAGAGACAAAAGUUACCUCCAACAGCACUAGUGGUUAGCUCAAUUAGCAAAGAUUGAUGGACUUGUAAGUUCAAGUCCUCAACCAAGUGUACUAAAUCCACAAUUUAAAUAGAGAACGCUAAGAGAGGCGAACUUGUCAUCUUAUGAGUUUCGAAAGUUACGAUUAGCUCAAAGUACGGGCACAUUUCACAAUCAUUAAGGUCUACGUACACUCUAGCCUUCAUAGAUUGCACUUGUAGGUUUAAUAUUGUAUCACACAAUGGACCAAUUGAUUUCAAAUUCCACCUCUGCUCCUAGACAUGUAUUUCUGACUCUGUUUCAUGAGAAAAAAUAUGUAAUCAAAACACUUAGGGUUCUAGAAUCAAAGUGAUAAAAUUAAAUGUUUAAGUUAUAAAAAAAAAUUUAAGUGAACACAGACCAAAAGCGACAAUAAAGCAUCAGGUAAUUCCAUACUAAUAUAUCACAUAUCUGUACCUAAUAACACCAAACCCAACUAAAUUUACUUGCUUGAUUUUCGAAGUUAUCUAACCAUUGUGGUUUAAAAAAGUCGUUCGAAUAAUUGACUACCCAAUUGUCAUCAUAGCCCUCAAAUUCAGGCUCUUCUCUUUUCAGAAUGAAACUACUCACAAACACAUGACAUUAAAUUGAAAAUCGUUAGGAAGUACACAAUAUGCACUCAAACAUAAGGAUAAGUACAUCCCUAAGCUUUAAUCGAGUGAUAAGAGAGCAUGUGAUGUCCAAGUUAUGCACACAACGAGGUUCAAAGUUUAAAUCUUAUCACAAACAAAAGUCUUCUACUUAAGCUAUGCACAAAACAAGGUCCCACCCCUCUAUUGUUCACUUAAGUAGAAGACUUUUGUUUGUGAUCAGAUUCAAACUUUGAACCUUGUUGUGUGCAUAACUUGCACAUCACAUGCUCUCUUAUCACUCGAUUAAAGCCUAGGCAUAUACUUAUCCUUAUAUUUGAGUGCAUAUUGUAUACUUCCUAACGGUUUUCAAUUUACUAUCAGGUGGUUGUGAGUAGCUUCAUUCCGAAAAAGGAAGAGCCUAAAUUUGAGGGCUAUGAUGACAAUUGAGUAGUCAAUUAUUCGAAUGACUUUUUUUAAACCACAAUGGUUAGAUAUUGUUUUAAACUUCAAAAAUCGAGCAACUACAUUUAGUUGAGUUUGGUGUUAUUUGGUACAAACAUGUAGUAUAUUAGUAUGGAAUUACCUAAUACAUUUUAUAGACGCUUUUGGUCUAUUCACUUAAAUGUUUUUUUUAUAACUUAAAUGUUAGUACGUAGUCAAGCGUUCUGUUUUCCUAUUCCAAUGUAUUAGUAUUAGUCUUGUAUUUUCGUAUUCUUAGAUUUCUAAUUCUAUCAGUUUAUUCCUUAGCCUCGAUUACUGUAUUCUUUUGUUUUUGUUCUAACUUGUUGCUAUUGAUGUCUUUUCAUUUGUUUUAGGCUGAGGUUCAAUUGAAAACAUCUUCUCUAUCUUUUCAAGGUAUAGGCAAGGUUUGCGACACACUACCCUUCUCGAACCCCACAUUUGGGAUUAUACAUGGUUUGUUGUUGUUGCUCAAGAGACGAAAAUUACCUCCAACGACCCAGUGGCUAGCUCAAUUAGCAAAGGUUGAUGGACUUGUGUCUUUAGGCCACAAGUUCACAUUUGUCUUAGUUAUUGGCAAGUUUCAAGGUCAUUAAGGUCUGCGUACACUUUACACUCUAUAGAUCGCACUACAACAUGGACCAAUUGAUUUCAAAUUCAAUUUCUGCUCGUUGACAUCUAUUUCUGACUUUGUUUCAUUAGAAAAAAUAAGUAAUCAAAACGCUUAGGGUUCUAAAAUCAAAGUGACGGAGCACACAAAAGCACAAAUAUUGAUAGGAGGGUGUGGUGGUCGAAAAUAAGGAUCUAAUGUUAGUAGGUAGUUAAGUGUUUUGUUUUCCUAUCCCUAGUGUAUUAGUAUUAGUCUUGUAUUUUCAUAUUCUUAGAUUCUGAUUCUAAUUCCUUUUAACUGUAUUCUCUUGUUUUUGUUUGAACUUGUUGCUAUUGAUGUCAUUUGUUUUGAGCUAAGGUUCUAUCGAAAACAUCUUCUCUACCUUCUCAAGGUAUGGGUAAGGUGAGCGUACACACUACCCUUCCCGGACCGCACUUGUGGGAUAACACUGAGUAUUAUGUUGUUGUUCAAGAGACAAAAAUUACCUCCAACAGCACUAGUGGUUAGCUCAAUUAGCAAAGAUUGAUGGACUUGUAAGUUCAAGUCCUCAACCAAGUGAACUAAAUCCACAAUUUAAAUAGAGAAUGCUAAGAGAGGCGAACUUGUCAUCUUCUGAGUUUCGAAGGUUACGAUUAGCUCAAAGUACGGGCACAUUUCACAAUCAUUAAGGUCUACGUACAUUCCAACCUUCAUAGAUUGCACUUGUAGGUUUAAUAUUGUAUUACACAAUGGACCAAUUGAUUUCAAAUUCCACCUCUGCUCCUAGACAUGUAUUUCUGACUUUGUUUCAUGAGAAAAAAUAUGUAAUUAAAACACUUAGGGUUCUAGAAUCAAAGUGAUAAAAUUAAAUGUUUAGUUAUAAAAAAAAAAUUAGGUGAACACAGACCAAAAGCGACAAUAAAGUAUCAGGUAAUUCUAUACUAAUAUAUUACAUAUCUGUACCUAAUAACACCAAACCCAACUAAAUUUACUUGCUCGAUUUUCGAAGUUAUCUAACCAUUGUGGUAUAAAAAAAGUCAUUCGAAUAAUUGACUACCCAAUUGUCAUCAUAGCCCUCAAAUUCAGGCUCUUCUCUUUUCAGAAUGAAACUACUCACAAACACAUGACAGUAAAUUGAAAAUUGUUAGGAAGUACACAAUAUGUACUCAAACAUAAGUAUAAGUACAUCCCUAAGCUUUAAUCGAGUGAUAAGAAAGCAUGUGAUGUCCAAGUUAUGCACACGAAGAGGUUCAAAAUUUAAAUCUUAGCACAAACAAAAGUCUUCUACUUAAGCUAUGCACAAAACAAGGUUCCACCCCUCUAUUGUUCACUUAAGUAGAAGACUUUUGUUUGUGAUCAGAUUCAAACUUUGAACCUUGUUGUGUGCAUAACUUGCACAUCACAUGCUCUCUUAUCACUCGAUUAAAGCCUAGGGAUAUACUUAUCCUUAUAUUUGAGUGCAUAUUGUAUACUUCCUAACGGUUUCAAUUUACUAUCAGGUGGUUGUGAGUAGCUUCAUUCCGAAAAGGGAAGAGCCUGAAUUUGAGGGCUAUGAUGACAAUUGAAUAGUCAAUUAUUCGAAUGACUUUUGUCAAACCACAAUGGUUAGAUAUUGUUUUAAACUUCGAAAAUCGAGCAACUAAAUUUAGUUGAGUUUGGUGUUAUUUGGUACAAACAUGUAGUAUAUUAGUAUGGAAUUACCUAAUACAUUUUAUAGACGCUUUUGGUCUAUAUUCACUUAAAUGUUUUUUUUAUAACUUAAAUGUUAGUACGUAGUCAAGCGUUCUGUUUUCCUAUUCCAAUGUAUUAGUAUUAGUCUUGUAUUUUCGUAUUCUUAGAUUUCUAAUUCUAUCAGUUUAUUCCUUAGCCUCGAUUACUGUAUUCUUUUGUUUUUGUUCUAACUUGUUGCUAUUGAUGUCUUAUCAUUUGUUUUAGGCUGAGGUUCAAUCGAAAACAUCUUCUCUAUCUUUUCAAGGUAUGGGCAAGAUUUGCGACACACUACCCUUCUCGAACCCCACAUUUGGGAUUAUACAGGGUUUGUUGUUGUUGUUCAAGAGACGAAAAUUACCUCCAACGACCCAGUGGCUAGCUUAAUUAGCAAAGGUUGAUGGACUUGUGUCUUUAGGCCACAAGUUCACAUUUUUCUUAGUUAUUGGCAAGUUUCAAGGUCAUUAAGGUCUGCGUACACUCUACACUCCAUAGAUCGCACUACAACAUGGACCAAUUGAUUUCAAAUUCAAUCUCUGCUCGUUGGCAUCUAUUUCUGACUUUGUUUCAUUAGAAAAAAUAAGUAAUCAAAACGCUUAGGGUUCUAAAAUCAAAGUGACGGAGCACACAAAAGCACAAAUAUUGAUAGGAGGGUGUGGUGGUCGAAAAUAAGGAUCUAAUGUUAGUAGGUAGUUAAGUGUUUAGUUUUACUAUUCCUAGUGUAUUAGUAUUAGUCUUGUAUUUUCGUACUCUUAGAUUAUAAUUCUAUCAGUUGAUUCCUUAUAACUGUAUUCUCUUGUUUUUGAUUUAACUUGUCGCUAUUGAUGUCAUUUGUUUUGAGCUGAGGUUCUACCGAAAACAUCUUCUCUACCUUCUCAAGGUAUGGGUAAGGUGAGCGUACACACUACCCUUCCUGGACCCCACUUGUGGGAUAACACUGAGUAGUAUGUUGUUGUUCAAGAGACAAAAAUCACCUCCAACACCACUAGUGGUUAGCUCAAUUAGCAAAGGUUAAUGGACUUGUGUCUUAAGUCACAAGUUCAAGCCCUCAACCAAGUGAACUAAAUCCACAAUUUAAAUAGAGAAUGCUAAGAGAGGCGAACUUAUCAUCUUCUGAGUUUCGAUGGUUACGAUUAGCUCAAUGUACUGGAAAAUUUCACAGUCAUUUAAGGUAUGCGUACAGUCUAGCCUCCAUAGAUGACACAUCAAGGUUUAUUUUUGUAUUACACAACCGACCAAUUUAUUUCAAAUUCCAUCUCUGCUCCUAGGCAUACUUUGUUUCAUCGGAAAAAAUCAGUAAUCAAAACACUUAGGGUUCUAAAAUCAAAGUGAAGGAGCACACAAAAACACAAAUUCAAGGGUUUAAUUGAGUUAUCGGAGUUAAAAAUCAC